CGUGGGUCUCACUUUCACACACACGUGGGUCUCACUUUCACACACACGUGGGUCUCACACACGUGGGUCUCACUUUCACACACACACGUGGGUCUUACACACACACACGUGUAUCUCACUUUCACACACGUGGGUCUCACUUUCACACACACGUGGGUCUCACUUUCACACACACGUGGGUCUCACACACGUGGGUCUCACUUUCACACACACGUGGGUCUCACUUUCACACACACGUGGGUCUCACACACACACACGUGGGUCUCACUUUCACACACACGUGGGUCUCACACACACGUGGGUCUCACACACACACACGUGGGUCUCACACACACACACGGGUCUCACUU
Molecule: long non-coding RNA, 350 nt
Filed under: Numida meleagris (helmeted guineafowl)
Lineage: Eukaryota; Metazoa; Chordata; Aves; Galliformes; Numididae
Description: lncRNA (ENSNMEG00000002559.1)
Source: RNAcentral